This 502-nucleotide ribosomal RNA is filed under the name uncultured Fusarium. RNAcentral's name for it is "eukaryotic LSU rRNA". The stretch from base 160 to 313 matches the Rfam family "5.8S ribosomal RNA". The record is from RNAcentral. Lineage: Eukaryota; Fungi; Ascomycota; Sordariomycetes; Hypocreales; Nectriaceae.
AAGGAUCAUUGCCGAGUUUACAACUCCCAAACCCCUGUGAACAUACCACUUGUUGCCUCGGCGGAUCAGCCCGCUCCCGGUAAAACGGGACGGCCCGCCAGAGGACCCCUAAACUCUGUUUCUAUAUGUAACUUCUGAGUAAAACCAUAAAUAAAUCAAAACUUUCAACAACGGAUCUCUUGGUUCUGGCAUCGAUGAAGAACGCAGCAAAAUGCGAUAAGUAAUGUGAAUUGCAGAAUUCAGUGAAUCAUCGAAUCUUUGAACGCACAUUGCGCCCGCCAGUAUUCUGGCGGGCAUGCCUGUUCGAGCGUCAUUUCAACCCUCAAGCACAGCUUGGUGUUGGGACUCGCGUUAAUUCGCGUUCCCCAAAUUGAUUGGCGGUCACGUCGAGCUUCCAUAGCGUAGUAGUAAAACCCUCGUUACUGGUAAUCGUCGCGGCCACGCCGUUAAACCCCAACUUCUGGAUGUUGACCUCGGAUCAGGUAGGAAUACCCGCUGAACU